GCCUUUGUGGCGUAGUGGUAGCGCGUCGCACUUGUAAUUUCCUCUGGGGAUAUUAUGUAAUGCGAAGGUCACUAGUUCAAUCCUGGUCGGAGGCA
Molecule: non-coding RNA, 95 nt
Organism: Desarmillaria tabescens
Lineage: Eukaryota; Fungi; Basidiomycota; Agaricomycetes; Agaricales; Physalacriaceae
Source: the annotation of a RefSeq genome assembly